UUCCUGUAAUGACUGUGUUAG
RNAcentral lists this unclassified non-coding RNA (21 nucleotides) under Mus musculus (house mouse). RNAcentral's name for it is "oocyte_clustered_small_RNA460". The record is from RNAcentral. Lineage: Eukaryota; Metazoa; Chordata; Mammalia; Rodentia; Muridae.